GAUGAACGCUGGCGGCGUGCCUAAUACAUGCAAGUCGAGCGAACAGACGAGGAGCUUGCUCCUCUGACGUUAGCGGCGGACGGGUGAGUAACACGUGGAUAACCUACCUAUAAGACUGGGAUAACUUCGGGAAACCGGAGCUAAUACCGGAUAAUAUAUUGAACCGCAUGGUUCAAUAGUGAAAGACGGUUUUGCUGUCACUUAUAGAUGGAUCCGCGCCGCAUUAGCUAGUUGGUAAGGUAACGGCUUACCAAGGCAACGAUGCGUAGCCGACCUGAGAGGGUGGUAGGCCCCACUGGAACUGAGACACGGGCCAGACUCCUACGGGAGGCAGCAGUAGGGAAUCUUCCGCAAUGGGCGAAAGCCUGACGGAGCAACGCCGCGUGAGUGAUGAAGGUCUUCGGAUCGUAAAACUCUGUUAUUAGGGAAGAACAAAUGUGUAAGUAACUAUGCACGUCUUGACGGUACCUAAUCAGAAAGCCACGGCUAACUACGUG
This 497-nucleotide ribosomal RNA is filed under the name uncultured bacterium. RNAcentral's name for it is "partial 16S ribosomal RNA". It matches the Rfam family "Bacterial small subunit ribosomal RNA", at positions 28 to 507 of the family's 1533-position model. The record is from RNAcentral.